This is a long non-coding RNA of Ictalurus punctatus (channel catfish), 3350 nucleotides long. Lineage: Eukaryota; Metazoa; Chordata; Actinopteri; Siluriformes; Ictaluridae. The record is from Ensembl.
AAACAAAAAACAAAAAGUACAUCCUUUCACAAGAAAGAAACCCAUCAACAACCCCUUCUUAGAAACUGAUUUCCUGUCGUACCUCAUACUACUCUACUAAAUACCAGGUACACAAUAGUACACAUACUAUUUUGUGACAUACUAUUUAGCACACUAGUAGGCUUUAACUGCGCAUGCGCAUUGCGUGUCCCCGCGCUAAAUCGAUGCUGAUUGGCGGCUCAGCGUGUCCGCAGUCUGUCUCCGCCCACACAGCCUUGCGCGAUUAUGUACCCUGUUUUGGGAAUUUUAUUUAUGGCACGCGCGCUCUCGACGUGCUCCCUGGCUCUAUAACGCUGUCACCGACUACAAUGUCAAACCUUUUAGGAGUCUCGCGAGCUUCCGUUUUCACCCCAAGGACAGAAGAUCCGUCGUGAUUUAUUUGUUUAUUUAUUCGGUUUUUUUUUUGGUUUUUUUUGGUUUUUACCCGAACUGACUCGACCUGAAGUGAUAUUUGUGCGUUAAAGUGAUGAUGACUUCACAAUAAACCAAGCUAAGGUCUAUGUUAGAGCGACGAAGACAGAAAUGGAGGUGACAAGGCGAAGAGACUCCAGUGGCCAGUUCUCUGACAACUCGGACCAUGACUGUGAGGUACAGAGGAAAGCAGCACGAAGUGUAACGAAUGUGGAAAAAACAGGGCAAUAAUGGCCAGAUACUCAGAGGGCUAUGGCACUGAGGAGGAGUGCGUCCAGUCCGAUCCUCAGCGAGAGAGCGAUGCAGAUGCAGACAUAGAGGAUGCAGACACUAGACUACAGGUCGUGGGCUCUCUCCAGCGAAUCAGCUCUCGGAAGCGAAGGCGUCAGCGAGUAACCCGGCAAGACACCACGGAGAGCGAGGAUGAUGGGGGGCAAAGCCACAGGAACCACCGCUGGAGUCUGAGAUUGAGUCCCCAUCGCUCACCUAAUAGAACCAUACUAGAGGAAAGUGUUUCUCAGGUCAGGCCACUGGUGAUUUGUCACUGUAAUCCAGCAGAUACCCCGGCUGCUUCAGCCAACCAACCCGAAAAAGGAAAAUGGUCGAUGAACAUAUGGCCUUUCUCUCUCUCUUUACCUCUUUUCUUCUUCCUCUUUCUUCUCCCCCUCUUCAUUUCCAUCAUAAUUGUGUUCUUUUCAUUCCUAUACCCACUUACUAAUACCUGACACCCCCUGCAACAGAUACCUCAAGGAAUCAUGUUUUUGUUGAUAUGUGUACUAUGAGAAGCACAAAAUUGGCCUUGAAAUGAAAGUGUAAUGUCUGAUACAUGUUAGCUAGAGGAUAUUAGUCGCAUUAAUUAUUUGAAUCCUUAUGGAAGAGUUUAAAAUGUCUGCAAUUUUAGUAAAUCCUUGAAAAUCACGAAUAGGUUUCUUUGUCAGACAGAAUGCUGUAAUUCAAUCCUUAUUCCUUUCUGUUAUCUUGACUUAAUUGUCAGUGUUUAAUCACCCACAAUAAUCCAUCGUAUUGCAUUUAUUAAUAGUUUUUUUUUUUUUUUAAAAGAAGCAAAAACCUUAAUCAAAUGAUUAAUUUGCUAUUUAUUACAACUUCUUCUUAAGUGUCACCAUGAUCGUUUUGAGCUCAGAUGUUAUUUCUUACUCCACCAGUGUGUGUCUGUGUAUGUAACGAUGCGUGCGUAGAAAGAUUGAAAACGGAAACGAAUUACUAUGCAAUGUACAGACAAGUCUUUUAGGAUUUGUUUAUGAUAGAAAAUACACUUUUUUUUUAUUUUGUGAAUGCAUGGCUGAAGUGAUAUUAAGCAAACCUCAACUGAUGCAUCAAAUCUAUGAUAAGUGGCAGAGCUUAUUACUUAGUUCGAUUAAGUUUCACAUCAGUGUUAGCAUUAAAGAUUUAAGUGCUAGUUAUGUUUAAGUGAGAAGUAUAUUUAAUGUCAUUUUCUUUUCCUCUACACUGUUUUUUUUUUAAAGUUACAUCUUAAUAACAGCCCUGAUGCGAUUGCUCUGGAAUUCUUAUUCAGUAUUAUGUUUAAUGCUAUUAAUUUUGUGCUUUUAUAGCUCCACCAGCUCCAGCACAUUUCUGUCCUUGUCACAGUCUCAUGCUUUUCCUCUUAAGCUUUAAAAUGAAAAUGAGGUGUAUGUCUGUGAACAUUUUGGGUCCAUUUGAACAUAAAUAAAAAAAAAAAAUGGUUUGAAAACAGAUGGCUUAUUGUGUUACAUGAAAAGAUCUCAGCACUCAAAGUAUUUUCACUUUCAUUUAAAAGUAGAAGAAAAUAUUCGUGUUACAUAUUUCCUUUUUAAUUUUUACGAAGGUUUUUGUUGAACACAACAUUUUAGCAUGUGAAGAGAUGCGUUUUCUAGCAUAGCAAAUGUCUAAGUGCCACUUACCUAACAAUGCUGUGACAUAGUCAUCAUGACCCUGGACAAAUUCUGGAUGAGGUGGAAACAAUUUGACGCAGACACUCUGGGAUUGAAGUAGAAUGCCAGCCCUAUCAGCUGAUGAAAAUGAUUGUAAAAACAGCAUUUAAGGGAAGAGGAGUUUGUGCUGCUCUAUAUGGAGUGCUAUGUUCCCUUUCAUGAAGCUAAUUUCCAUAAUAACCAUCUGCUGAUAAAGGAUUGCUCAUCUUUUGAGAUUUUCAGUAUCAUGUUACAAAGUAUGACUAAAACAUAUCUACUUAAGUUGAGAGGUUUGUGAGAAUAACUGCUAUGAAAUGUGACAAUUCACAUGAAAAUUGGUAUAUGAAUGCAAUACAAAUAUGUGAAAAUAUUUCAGUAGUAGAUUACCAUCUACUAUUAACCUAUCUAAAGGUAGACUUCAAUCUGCCUUUCUGUGUACCUUUCUAUGUAGCUUUGUUUGGCUACCCUGUAAAACUACCUAACUACAUUUUUUGUUGAUAGCAUUUAAUAAUAGUGAUGGCAUAUUUGGGCAUAAUCUCUAAUUUUGGCUAGUUCAAUUCAUAAACAUCUGUAAUGUUGGUGAAAUACUGAAUUAAGAUAACAAUUUGUAUUGCAAAAUAAUUCAAUUUAGAUUUUUUCGGUCUGGGGGGAUGGGAGGAGAAAAAGAGAGAGAGAGGGGGACGAGAGAGAGAACAAAUUAUUAGGUAUGCUCUUGUCCUGUAAUGGUUAAAGACCAUGUACAUUGUGUGCAGAGUGUAAGCAGGGACUCCAGCAAGAUUCGCUAUGACAGCAUACCUAAAAGGGGGAACCAGAACGUAACAGACAUGCAGGGCUGGUUCUUGACAUUUGGAGGCCCUGAGCACAAUUUAUGUUGGAGGCCUCCUACACCUCUCCUCCCCUCCUCCUUUCAGAAUAAAUAAAAAGCACUUUAAACAAAUUUGAUUCUUAACCAAAUGAUUCUUAACCUUUUUAUUUAUACAACAUCUGUAU